UAAGGAAUAUUGCUCAAUGGGAGAAAUCCUGAAGCAGCAACGCCGCGUGGAGGAUGAAGGGUCUAUGACUUGUAAACUCCUGUAAAGAAGGAAAAAAUUCCCAUUUGAUGGGAGAUGAUGGUACUUCUGGAGUAAGCCCCGGCUAACUACGUGCCAGCAGCCGCGGUAAUACGUAGGGGGCAGGCGUUGUCCGGAUUUUCUGGGUGUAAAGGGUGCUCAGGCGGAUUUGUAAGUCAGAGGUGAAAUCUUACAGCUUAACUGUGAAGCUGCCUUUGAUACUGCAAGCCUAGAGUAUGGAAGAGAGUGAUGGAAUAUCUGGUGUAGCAGUGAAAUGCGUAGGUAUCAGAUAGAACACCAAUGGCGAAGGCAGUCACUUGGUCCAUUACUGACGCUAAAGCACGAAAGCGUGGGUAGCAAACA
This 420-nucleotide ribosomal RNA is filed under the name uncultured bacterium. RNAcentral describes it as "bacterial SSU rRNA". It matches the Rfam family "Bacterial small subunit ribosomal RNA", at positions 355 to 774 of the family's 1533-position model. The record is from RNAcentral.